UCAAUAACCAGGAGAUAAAGAGUAGAUAGGUGAUCAAGAGGUGUCGUAGAUACAGGAUGCUUAUCGAUGUUUGGAUGUUGUUAGAUGGUUAUUAUGGAGGUGAAUCCAGUGAAAGUCGGAGGUGGAUUUGAGGUGUGAAUAAGUGUGGCCCACUGGCCACUGCGCUGUUUAGCCAUGGCCGGCAUAGCAACGGUGGCGAUCCUCAUGCUGCUCGCCUCCGCGUCAUCAGCCCCCGUGUCCCGCACCCUCGACUCGCUGGUCUCCGGAGACACCCUUGGGCUGGAGCUGCCCACGGCGCUGCUGGCAGGGGCGGGGGCGGGGGCGGUGCAGGUGGUAGUCAACGUCUACACAGACAGCAGCGGGAAUAUCCAGGUCGACCCGGCGGUUUUUUAAAGUGUUAUCCACAACGCGGACUCUUCCAACAUAUCAGUGUGUCUGAUUUCCCGGUAAACAAGUGCUGGUACGGAAGUUUUAGACGAUGAAACUUUGAUCUACCCAACCAAAGUGCAUUAUAGUUUUAUAUCGAUAUUUUAUGAGCGUAUAAGAUACUGAGAUGUCGUUAAGAAAUCUUCAUAAAGCCAGAGUGAAUAACGUAGAGAUAAAAGUGAUAAAGCCGAGUAAAGUGAACACAGAUGCAGGCAUGUUUCGAUGAUGCGAAUGCAGUGCCUUGACUGUGGACUUCACCAGAACUGUUGUGAGUCGAAGGAUUCAGAUCAACAUGUCUUCGACUAAAGAAGAGGAGUUAUAUGCUGAAGGAUUACAGUAGAUAUAUUAUGUCCUGAAGGAUGUAGUAUACCUAUAAUUAUGUUUCUGUGAAGGAAGAACUACUUACAUCAAUCACAGGGAGAGGACGCCCGUGUGAUUGGUUUUUCUUUUAACUUAAUUAAGCAUGAUUGUAUCUGUACUUAAUAUAAGUUGUUUAUAAAUUGCCUAAAA
Molecule: long non-coding RNA, 936 nt
Organism: Plutella xylostella (diamondback moth)
Lineage: Eukaryota; Metazoa; Arthropoda; Insecta; Lepidoptera; Plutellidae
Source: RefSeq, a predicted model, not a curated record